Molecule: ribosomal RNA, 2880 nt
Filed under: Neisseria gonorrhoeae
Lineage: Bacteria; Pseudomonadati; Pseudomonadota; Betaproteobacteria; Neisseriales; Neisseriaceae
Description: bacterial LSU rRNA
Rfam family: Bacterial large subunit ribosomal RNA
Source: RNAcentral
AUAAGUGCAUCAGGCGGAUGCCUUGGCGAUGAUAGGCGACGAAGGACGUGUAAGCCUGCGAAAAGCGCGGGGGAGCUGGCAAUAAAGCUAUGAUUCCGCGAUGUCCGAAUGGGGAAACCCACUGCAUUCUGUGCAGUAUCCUAAGUUGAAUACAUAGGCUUAGAGAAGCGAACCCGGAGAACUGAACCAUCUAAGUACCCGGAGGAAAAGAAAUCAACCGAGAUUCCGCAAGUAGUGGCGAGCGAACGCGGAGGAGCCUGUACGUAAUAACUGUCGAGAUAGAAGAACAAGCUGGGAAGCUUGACCAUAGCGGGUGACAGUCCCGUAUUCGAAAUCUCAACAGCGGUACUAAGCGUACGAAAAGUAGGGCGGGACACGUGAAAUCCUGUCUGAAUAUGGGGGGACCAUCCUCCAAGGCUAAAUACUCAUCAUCGACCGAUAGUGAACCAGUACCGUGAGGGAAAGGCGAAAAGAACCCCGGGAGGGGAGUGAAACAGAACCUGAAACCUGAUGCAUACAAACAGUGGGAGCGCCCUAGUGGUGUGACUGCGUACCUUUUGUAUAAUGGGUCAACGACUUACAUUCAGUAGCGAGCUUAACCGGAUAGGGGAGGCGUAGGGAAACCGAGUCUUAAUAGGGCGAUGAGUUGCUGGGUGUAGACCCGAAACCGAGUGAUCUAUCCAUGGUCAGGUUGAAGGUGCCGUAACAGGUACUGGAGGACCGAACCCACGCAUGUUGCAAAAUGCGGGGAUGAGCUGUGGGUAGGGGUGAAAGGCUAAACAAACUCGGAGAUAGCUGGUUCUCCCCGAAAACUAUUUAGGUAGUGCCUCGAGCAAGACACUGAUGGGGGUAAAGCACUGUUAUGGCUAGGGGGUUAUUGCAACUUACCAACCCAUGGCAAACUCAGAAUACCAUCAAGUGGUUCCUCGGGAGACAGACAGCGGGUGCUAACGUCCGUUGUCAAGAGGGAAACAACCCAGACCGCCGGCUAAGGUCCCAAAUGAUAGAUUAAGUGGUAAACGAAGUGGGAAGGCACAGACAGCCAGGAUGUUGGCUUAGAAGCAGCCAUCAUUUAAAGAAAGCGUAAUAGCUCACUGGUCGAGUCGUCCUGCGCGGAAGAUGUAACGGGGCUCAAAUCUAUAACCGAAGCUGCGGAUGCCGGUUUACCGGCAUGGUAGGGGAGCGUUCUGUAGGCUGAUGAAGGUGCAUUGUAAAGUGUGCUGGAGGUAUCAGAAGUGCGAAUGUUGACAUGAGUAGCGAUAAAGCGGGUGAAAAGCCCGCUCGCCGAAAGCCCAAGGUUUCCUACGCAACGUUCAUCGGCGUAGGGUAAGUCGGCCCCUAAGGCGAGGCAGAAAUGCGUAGUCGAUGGGAAACAGGUUAAUAUUCCUGUACUUGAUUCAAAUGCGAUGUGGGGACGGAGAAGGUUAGGUUGGCAAGCUGUUGGAAUAGCUUGUUUAAGCCGGUAGGUGGAAGACUUAGGCAAAUCCGGGUUUUCUUAACACCGAGAAGUGAUGACGAGUGUCUACGGACACGAAGCAACCGAUACCACGCUUCCAGGAAAAGCCACUAAGCUUCAGUUUGAAUCGAACCGUACCGCAAACCGACACAGGUGGGCAGGAUGAGAAUUCUAAGGCGCUUGAGAGAACUCGGGAGAAGGAACUCGGCAAAUUGAUACCGUAACUUCGGGAGAAGGUAUGCCCUCUAAGGUUAAGGACUUGCUCCGUAAGCCCCGGAGGGUCGCAGAGAAUAGGUGGCUGCGACUGUUUAUUAAAAACACAGCACUCUGCCAACACGAAAGUGGACGUAUAGGGUGUGACGCCUGCCCGGUGCCGGAAGGUUAAUUGAAGAUGUGCAAGCAUCGGAUCGAAGCCCCGGUAAACGGCGGCCGUAACUAUAACGGUCCUAAGGUAGCGAAAUUCCUUGUCGGGUAAGUUCCGACCCGCACGAAUGGCGUAACGAUGGCCACACUGUCUCCUCCCGAGACUCAGCGAAGUUGAAGUGGUUGUGAAGAUGCAAUCUACCCGCUGCUAGACGGAAAGACCCCGUGAACCUUUACUGUAGCUUUGCAUUGGACUUUGAAGUCACUUGUGUAGGAUAGGUGGGAGGCUUGGAAGCAGAGACGCCAGUCUCUGUGGAGUCGUCCUUGAAAUACCACCCUGGUGUCUUUGAGGUUCUAACCCAGACCCGUCAUCCGGGUCGGGGACCGUGCAUGGUAGGCAGUUUGACUGGGGCGGUCUCCUCCCAAAGCGUAACGGAGGAGUUCGAAGGUUACCUAGGUCCGGUCGGAAAUCGGACUGAUAGUGCAAUGGCAAAAGGUAGCUUAACUGCGAGACCGACAAGUCGGGCAGGUGCGAAAGCAGGACAUAGUGAUCCGGUGGUUCUGUAUGGAAGGGCCAUCGCUCAACGGAUAAAAGGUACUCCGGGGAUAACAGGCUGAUUCCGCCCAAGAGUUCAUAUCGACGGCGGAGUUUGGCACCUCGAUGUCGGCUCAUCACAUCCUGGGGCUGUAGUCGGUCCCAAGGGUAUGGCUGUUCGCCAUUUAAAGUGGUACGUGAGCUGGGUUUAAAACGUCGUGAGACAGUUUGGUCCCUAUCUGCAGUGGGCGUUGGAAGUUUGACGGGGGCUGCUCCUAGUACGAGAGGACCGGAGUGGACGAACCUCUGGUGUACCGGUUGUAACGCCAGUUGCAUAGCCGGGUAGCUAAGUUCGGAAGAGAUAAGCGCUGAAAGCAUCUAAGCGCGAAACUCGCCUGAAGAUGAGACUUCCCUUGCGGUUUAACCGCACUAAAGGGUCGUUCGAGACCAGGACGUUGAUAGGUGGGGUGUGGAAGCGCGGUAACGCGUGAAGCUAACCCAUACUAAUUGCCCGUGAGGCUUGACU